AGCUCUGGACUCUGCAGACCUUCAGGUUGAAUUGCUGGGUGAAAGGGCCCAAGGUGAAUUUUGACACUCCAGGUGUCCCCAGGAAGGACUGCUCCUGGGAUGAUAGGCCCUAGAGGGGGCUCCCCGUGGAGAGGGGGAUACUCAUGGGUCUCCCUCACCCCCUACCCCACAGCUACCCCUGUCCAGCAGCCACCUGAAUGUGUACAGCAGCGACCCCCAGGUCACAGCCUCCCUGGUGGGCGUCACCAGCAGCUCCUGCCCUGCGGACCUGACCCAGAAGCGAGAGCUCACAGGUACUGCCUCCCUCUACCCCUGUGCCUUUGAAUACCCGACUCCUCCCUCCUUUUCUCCCUCCCUCCCAGCUCCUCUCUCCUUCUCUUUUGGCCUCCAGAUGCUGAGAGCAGGGCCCUGGCCAAGGAGCGGCAGAAGAAAGACAAUCACAACUUAAUUGAAAGGAGACGAAGGUUCAACAUCAAUGACCGCAUCAAGGAGUUGGGAAUGCUGAUCCCCAAGGCCAAUGACCU
This 524-nucleotide long non-coding RNA is filed under the name Homo sapiens (human). Its description in RNAcentral is "non-protein coding lnc-PGC-2:1". The record is from RNAcentral. Lineage: Eukaryota; Metazoa; Chordata; Mammalia; Primates; Hominidae.